Molecule: ribosomal RNA, 474 nt
Filed under: Panagrolaimus sp. AS03
Lineage: Eukaryota; Metazoa; Nematoda; Chromadorea; Rhabditida; Panagrolaimidae
Description: SSU rRNA
Rfam family: Eukaryotic small subunit ribosomal RNA
Source: RNAcentral
GAUUUUGACUUUUAUCCUACAUGGAUAACUGUGGUAAUUCUGGAGCUAAUACAUGCAUAAAAGAUGUUUCUUUAUUGAAACAUUGCGUAUAUUAGUAUUAAAACCAAGCAUUCUUCGGAAUGUUUUGUGUUGAAACUGAAUAUAUCUGCUGAUCGUAUGGUCUUGUACCGACGACAUGUCAUUCAAGUGUCUGAUCUAUCAACUUUCUAUAUAAGUAUAUAGUACUUAUAUGGUUUUGACGGAUAACGGGGUAUUAGGGUACGACUCCGGAGAAAAUGCCUGAGAAACGGCGUUUACAUCCAAGGAAGGCAGCAGGCGCGAAAAUUACCCACUCUCAGUACGAGGAGGUAGUGACGAGAAAUGACAAGAUCUAUUCCUUCGGGGAUGGAUCAUUGGAAUGGUUUGAUUUUAAAAUCAUUAAAGAGUAUCAAUGAGAGGGCAAGUCUGGUGCCAGCAGCCGCGGUAAUUCCAGCU